GUGCUCACAUCAGCAGCACAUAUACUAACAAUGGAAUGAUACAGAGAAGAUUAGCAUGACCCCUUCACAAGGA
Rattus norvegicus (Norway rat) is the source of this 73-nucleotide small nuclear RNA. The record is from Ensembl. Lineage: Eukaryota; Metazoa; Chordata; Mammalia; Rodentia; Muridae.